UGCAUCGGCCGGGAAUCGAACCCGGGGCGCCCGCAUGGCGCCGCGUUCUACCACUGAACCAAAGGC
This 66-nucleotide transfer RNA is filed under the name Cordylochernes scorpioides. RNAcentral describes it as "tRNA-OTHER". Lineage: Eukaryota; Metazoa; Arthropoda; Arachnida; Pseudoscorpiones; Chernetidae. The record is from RNAcentral.